This 273-nucleotide ribosomal RNA is filed under the name Clostridioides difficile. RNAcentral's name for it is "partial 16S ribosomal RNA". It matches the Rfam family "Bacterial small subunit ribosomal RNA", at positions 1270 to 1533 of the family's 1533-position model. The record is from RNAcentral. Lineage: Bacteria; Bacillati; Bacillota; Clostridia; Peptostreptococcales; Peptostreptococcaceae.
AAUCCCUUAAAGCUACUCUCAGUUCGGAUUGUAGGCUGAAACUCGCCUACAUGAAGCUGGAGUUACUAGUAAUCGCAGAUCAGAAUGCUGCGGUGAAUGCGUUCCCGGGUCUUGUACACACCGCCCGUCACACCCCGGGAGUUGGAGACGCCCGAAGCCGAUUAUCUAACCUUUUGGAAGAAGUCGUCGAAGGUGGAAUCAAUAACUGGGGUGAAGUCGUAACAAGGUAGCCGUAUCGGAAGGUGCGGCUGGAUCACCUCCUUUCUAAGGAGA